Long non-coding RNA from Neogale vison (American mink), 804 nucleotides. RefSeq lists it as uncharacterized. The transcript is spliced from 3 exons. NCBI's taxonomy places the organism in Eukaryota, Metazoa, Chordata, Mammalia, Carnivora, Mustelidae. The record is from RefSeq and is a predicted model, not a curated record.
GGCUCUUGGCCAUUGUCCCUGUUUCUCUCCGCAGUGUGCAGUAGAGUUUUCCAAAGACCGUAAGACAGGCGGUGCAGCAACAGACUGCAGAAGCAGGAUAGCUGGCUCUAGGUCAAAUAUCAGAAUUCGAAUAUCAGCCGUGCCUUUAGCAAAUGGACAAGCUUGGGCAGAGACCUCACUACCUUACCCAGUUUCCCCAAACCUCAAGGACCGUGUCCGUUACAAAUGGAUCUUAGCAGCACUACCUCGGUAGGCAUGUUGAACGUUUUCUUAAGGAAUCUCUGUACCCCAUGUGGGGCUUGAACUCAUGACCCCGAGAUCAAGAGUCCUGUGCUCUACCAGGCGCUGACCCAGAGGACAUCAGACACAGCCAUGGAAUGCUGAUGUGCCCCUGAAGCUAGAAAGCAGGGAGCAGAGACUGAGUUCCCUUCCUGGUGAAAGCAUGAGCUCCAGGGUGGACAAAGCCAGUGCCUUCACCUCUCUGCUCCCCAGAUUCUCUUCCUCAAGCCCACUGGCAUCCAGAGUGGGGUUCGUGAUGUGAGAGAACUUAGAGGUUCCCUCCGGAUGAGCAAAAAAGGGAAGCUGGGUUAACUACAACCCAUUUAGUCACGCAGACAGUCAUGCCUGUCGUUCCAACCCCAGAGCCCCACGUCUUUUUUGAUUGCUUGCUCAAACAGUACAUUAAAUCAUCUCUAACAUGCAAGAACUAUGUUAUGUUGAUACAGAAGUGUCUCCAAAAGACAAAUACUGUAGGAUUUCGUUCAUAUGUGGAACCUAAAAAACAAAACAAAUGAGCAAACACAA